RNAcentral lists this transfer RNA (73 nucleotides) under Acidobacteriota bacterium. RNAcentral describes it as "Acidobacteria bacterium (wastewater metagenome) tRNA-Val". It matches the Rfam family "tRNA". From Rfam's summary of the family: Transfer RNA (tRNA) molecules are approximately 80 nucleotides in length. Their secondary structure includes four short double-helical elements and three loops (D, anti-codon, and T loops). The record is from RNAcentral. Lineage: Bacteria; Pseudomonadati; Acidobacteriota.
AGGAACGUAGCUCAGCGGCCAGAGCAUUGGUCUUACAAACCAGCGGUCGUGGGUUCGAGUCCCGCCGUUCCUA